This 301-nucleotide ribosomal RNA is filed under the name uncultured bacterium. RNAcentral's name for it is "partial 16S ribosomal RNA". It matches the Rfam family "Bacterial small subunit ribosomal RNA", at positions 509 to 807 of the family's 1533-position model. The record is from RNAcentral.
CAGCCGCCGCGGUAAAACGGAGGGUGCAAGCGUUAAUCGGAAUUACUGGGCGUAAAGCGCACGCAGGCGGUCUGUCAAGUCAGAUGUGAAAUCCCCGGGCUUAACCUGGGAACUGCAUUUGAAACUGGCAGGCUAGAGUCUUGUAGAGGGGGGUAGAAUUCCAGGUGUAGCGGUGAAAUGCGUAGAUAUAGGAAGGAACACCAGUGGCGAAGGCGACCACCUGGACUGAUACUGACACUGAGGUGCGAAAGCGUGGGGAGCAAACAGGAUUAGAUACCCCAGUAGUCCCUGUCUCUUAUAC